Molecule: ribosomal RNA, 554 nt
Filed under: Hyphodontia zhixiangii
Lineage: Eukaryota; Fungi; Basidiomycota; Agaricomycetes; Hymenochaetales; Schizoporaceae
Description: eukaryotic LSU rRNA
Rfam family: 5.8S ribosomal RNA (bases 194-348)
Source: RNAcentral
UCGAGUUUGAAGUGGGCCUUUUGAGCUGCAGUAAUGUGUGCUCGAGGCCCCGCUCCAUCCACUCAACCCCUGUGCACUUUCGGAGUGGCGAGUGGGACCGCAAGGUCUUGCCCGUGGCUUCGUCUCUUAUCACAAACCAGUUUUAUUAUUGUCAUGUAGAACGUGGAUGCCUGCAAAGGCGGAAACUCAAUACAACUUUCAACAACGGAUCUCUUGGCUCUCGCAUCGAUGAAGAACGCAGCGAAAUGCGAUAAGUAAUGUGAAUUGCAGAUUUCAGUGAAUCAUCGAAUCUUUGAACGCACCUUGCGCUCCUGGACUUGUUUCAGGAGCAUGCCUGUUUGAGUGUCAUGAAAUCAUCAACCACGAUGCUUCUUAGUGUCGCUGGCUUGGACUUGGGGAUCUGCUGGCUUGUCAAGAGUCGGCUUCCCUUGAAUGCAUUAGUCGGGUGCCUUGCUCGAGAAGUGUGAUAAUUAUCAUUCACUGAUCGUCGAGGAGCUUUGUCUCGGCUUCUAACCGCAUUGGAAACGAUGCAAUUUUUGACACAUCUGACCUCA